RNAcentral lists this ribosomal RNA (380 nucleotides) under Escherichia coli. RNAcentral's name for it is "bacterial SSU rRNA". It matches the Rfam family "Bacterial small subunit ribosomal RNA", at positions 1 to 377 of the family's 1533-position model. The record is from RNAcentral. Lineage: Bacteria; Pseudomonadati; Pseudomonadota; Gammaproteobacteria; Enterobacterales; Enterobacteriaceae.
AAAUUGAAGAGUUUGAUCAUGGCUCAGAUUGAACGCUGGCGGCAGGCCUAACACAUGCAAGUCGAACGGUAACAGGAAUCAGCUUGCUGUUUCGCUGACGAGUGGCGGACGGGUGAGUAAUGUCUGGGAAACUGCCUGAUGGAGGGGGAUAACUACUGGAAACGGUAGCUAAUACCGCAUAACGUCGCAAGACCAAAGAGGGGGACCUUCGGGCCUCUUGCCAUCGGAUGUGCCCAGAUGGGAUUAGCUAGUAGGUGGGGUAACGGCUCACCUAGGCGACGAUCCCUAGCUGGUCUGAGAGGAUGACCAGCCACACUGGAACUGAGACACGGUCCAGACUCCUACGGGAGGCAGCAGUGGGGAAUAUUGCACAAUGGGCG